RNAcentral lists this ribosomal RNA (466 nucleotides) under uncultured bacterium. RNAcentral's name for it is "partial 16S ribosomal RNA". It matches the Rfam family "Bacterial small subunit ribosomal RNA", at positions 28 to 507 of the family's 1533-position model. The record is from RNAcentral.
GACGAACGCUGGCGGCGUGCUUAACACAUGCAAGUCGAACGGAAAGGCCCUGCUUGCAGGGUACUCGAGUGGCGAACGGGUGAGUAACACGUGGGUGAUCUGCCCUGCACUUCGGGAUAAGCUUGGGAAACUGGGUCUAAUACCGGAUAGGAGCCAUCUUUAGUGUGGUGGUUGGAAAGUUUUUUCGGUGUAGGAUGAGCUCGCGGCCUAUCAGCUUGUUGGUGGGGUAAUGGCCUACCAAGGCGGCGACGGGUAGCCGGCCUGAGAGGGUGUACGGCCACAUUGGGACUGAGAUACGGCCCAGACUCCUACGGGAGGCAGCAGUGGGGAAUAUUGCACAAUGGGCGCAAGCCUGAUGCAGCGACGCCGCGUGGGGGAUGAAGGCCUUCGGGUUGUAAACUCCUUUCGCUAGGGACGAAGCUUUUUUGCGACGGUACCUAGAUAAGAAGCACCGGCUAACUACGUG